AAAAAAUCGUAUACUAUAUAGUUUGAUUAACAAACAAACGUAAAGCGAAGAGGAACACUGUGUAAAUCAGUGGCUGUGCCGCAACUGUGAGUCCCUCCUUCGUCAAGUACCGUAUGGUACCUGACUUCGGCGGGCGAAGCCAGGAACUCUUUUUUACGGAAAAAUCCCG
Molecule: non-coding RNA, 169 nt
Filed under: Candidatus Microgenomates bacterium
Lineage: Bacteria; Candidatus Microgenomatota
Source: RNAcentral